AUGGCCGAGCAGGGGAGCAAGACGACGAGCUGGUGGAGGAGGUUCCGGUGGCUAUACGCGGUGCGGUGCACGUUGGCGUGCGUGGUCACCCUGGUGGCCGUGGCGGUGAUCGUCCGGGCGGUGGUGGUGAUGCUCCGCCCCGAGAAGCUCCAGCUGAAGCUCGCCGCCGGCCGCGUAGCUGCCAACUACAUACCGUCGCUGCCACCCCCGGGCAACAAGGUGUCGCUCAAGUUCGUCCUCAGGGCCUACAACCCAAGCGGGCGCGCCACCCUCGAGUACGCCAACGUCACCGUCCGGCUCACGGACGCGUCGUCGUCAUCUUCUUCGGCGGAGGCGCCUACAGCGAGGAUCGCCGAGUUUGACCUUCCGAAGCCCAUCGACGUGACGCAGCAGACAUUGAGCGAGGUGCUCGUGCCGUUGUGGCUGGUGCCGGAGGAGGACCUACCGAUGCGUUACGUGCGCGCGCUCUACGAGGGGCGCGGCGUGGCCGGCGCGGAGAUGGAGCUGAGAGGGAUCUUGUCCACCCACGUGGCGAUGUCCACCACAAGUGUCCUCACCACGUACUACUGCUGGCCGGUGACCAUCGCCGUCGGGCCGGGCGACUACGCCGCCGCCGACGUGCCCUGCUUCGACAAGUUGGACGCCCCGGCUCAUGUGUGA
Molecule: ribosomal RNA, 660 nt
Filed under: Triticum aestivum (bread wheat)
Lineage: Eukaryota; Viridiplantae; Streptophyta; Magnoliopsida; Poales; Poaceae
Description: partial small subunit ribosomal RNA
Source: RNAcentral